Molecule: ribosomal RNA, 402 nt
Filed under: uncultured microorganism
Description: bacterial SSU rRNA
Rfam family: Archaeal small subunit ribosomal RNA
Source: RNAcentral
GCGCAGCAGUCGCGAAAACUUUACAAUGUGCGAAAGCACGAUAAGGGAACUCUGAGUGCCUCCUAAGGAGGCUGUUCAGGUGUCUAAAAAGCACCUGGAGUAAGGGCUGGGUAAGACCGGUGCCAGCCGCCGCGGUAACACCGGCAGCCCAGGUGGUAGCCACUUUUAUUGGGUCUAAAGCGUCCGUAGCCGGUUGAGUAAGCUCCUUGGGAAAUUUGGCUGCUCAACAGUCAAGCUUCCAGGGAAUACUGCUCGACUUGGGGACUGGGAGAGGUCAGAGGUACUCCAGGGGUAGGGGUGAAAAUCCAUUAAUCCCUGGGGGACCACCGGUAGCGAAGGCGUCUGACCAGACCAGGUCCGACGGUGAGGGACGAAGGCUAGGGUCGCGAACCGGAUUAGAUA